RNAcentral lists this unclassified non-coding RNA (322 nucleotides) under soil metagenome. RNAcentral describes it as "partial contains 5.8S ribosomal RNA, internal transcribed spacer 2, and large subunit ribosomal RNA". The stretch from base 1 to 120 matches the Rfam family "5.8S ribosomal RNA", at positions 35 to 154 of the family's 154-position model. The record is from RNAcentral.
GAUGAAGAACGUAGUGAAAUGCGAUAAUUAAUGUGAAUUGCAGAAUUCAGUGAAUCAUCGAAUCUUUGAACGCACAUUGCGCCCUUUGGCAUUCCGAAGGGCACACCUGUCCGAGCGCCGUCGCACAACUGAGGCGCAGCCUUGCGUUGGCGGGCGACUUGUGAGUAGCGAGUCGCCGCCCAAACGAGACGGCGCCGCGCCGCGGCCGACGAAGCACGAAAGCGGAAGUCGACGCGGAGGCGGUUGCCUGUAGGAAGACACAGCUUGGCCUCGGAUCAGGUGGGGAUACCCGCUGAACUUAAGCAUAUCAAUAAGCGGAGGA